GUUCUUGUAGCUCAGUGGCUAGAGCGUGCGAUUGCAAGGAGCGCAUGCGCAUCCAGUACAUCGCAAGGUCCCUGGUUCGAUCCCGGGCAAGAACU
The sequence is a transfer RNA, 95 nucleotides long. It matches the Rfam family "tRNA". From Rfam's summary of the family: Transfer RNA (tRNA) molecules are approximately 80 nucleotides in length. Their secondary structure includes four short double-helical elements and three loops (D, anti-codon, and T loops). The record is from Rfam.